UACGUAGGGGGCAAGCGUUGUCCGGAUUUAUUGGGCGUAAAGAGCGUGUAGGCGGCCAGGCAGGUCAGCUGUGAAAACUCGAGGCUCAACCUCGAGACGUCGGUUGAAACCGCUUGGCUAGAGUCCGGAAGAGGAGACUGGAAUUCCCGGUGUAGCGGUGAAAUGCGCAGAUAUCGGGAAGAACACCCGUGGCGAAGGCGGGUCUCUGGGGCGGUACUGACGCUGAGACGCGAAAGCGUGGGGAG
Molecule: ribosomal RNA, 245 nt
Filed under: uncultured bacterium
Lineage: Bacteria
Description: partial 16S ribosomal RNA
Rfam family: Bacterial small subunit ribosomal RNA
Source: RNAcentral